UGCAGUCGACGAUGACCACUUCGGUGGGGAUUAGUGGCGAACGGGUGAGUAACACGUGGGCAAUCUGCCCUUCACUCUGGGACAAGCCCUGGAAACGGGGUCUAAUACCGGAUAUGASCCUCCUCCGCAUGGUGGCGGCUGGAAAGCUCCGGCGGUGAAGGAUGAGCCCGCGGCCUAUCAGCUUGUUGGUGAGGUAAUGGCUCACCAAGGCGACGACGGGUAGCCGGCCUGAGAGGGCGACCGGCCACACUGGGACUGAGACACGGCCCAGACUCCUACGGGAGGCAGCAGUGGGGAAUAUUGCACAAUGGGCGAAAGCCUGAUGCAGCGACGCCGCGUGAGGGAUGACGGCCUUCGGGUUGUAAACCUCUUUCAGCAGGGAAGAAGCGAAAGUGACGGUACCUGCUWKAAGAAGCGCCGGCUAACUACGUGCCAGCAGCCGCGGUAAUACGUAGGGCGCAAGCGUUGUCCGGAAUUAUUGGGCGUAAAGAGCUCGUAGGCGGCUUGUCACGUCGGUUGUG
Molecule: ribosomal RNA, 521 nt
Filed under: Streptomyces sp. SBA 98
Lineage: Bacteria; Bacillati; Actinomycetota; Actinomycetes; Kitasatosporales; Streptomycetaceae
Description: bacterial SSU rRNA
Rfam family: Bacterial small subunit ribosomal RNA
Source: RNAcentral